UACAGGGGGUGCAAACGUUGCUCGGAAUCAUUGGGCGUAAAGCGCACGUAGGCGGUUCGUUAUGUCGGAUGUGAAAGCCCUUGGCUUAACCGAGGAAGUGCAUCCGAAACUGGCGAGCUAGAGUACUAAAGAGGAUCGCGGAAUUCCCGGUGUAGAGGUGAAAAUUCGUAGAUAUCGGGAGGAACACCGGUGGCGAAGGCAGCGAUCUGGGUAGAUACUGACGCUGAGGUGCGAAAGCGUGGGGAGCAAACAGG
RNAcentral lists this ribosomal RNA (254 nucleotides) under uncultured bacterium. Its description in RNAcentral is "partial 16S ribosomal RNA". It matches the Rfam family "Bacterial small subunit ribosomal RNA", at positions 524 to 776 of the family's 1533-position model. The record is from RNAcentral.